GUGGGGAAUAUUGGACAAUGGGCGCAAGCCUGAUCCAGCCAUGCCGCGUGUGUGAAGAAGGCCUUCGGGUUGUAAAGCACUUUUGUUGGGAAAGAAAUCCUGUCGGCUAAUACCCGGCGGGGAUGACGGUACCCAAAGAAUAAGCACCGGCUAACUUCGUGCCAGCAGCCGCGGUAAUACGAAGGGUGCAAGCGUUACUCGGAAUUACUGGGCGUAACGCGUGCGUAGGUGGUUCGUUAAGUCAGGUGUGAAAGCCCCGGGCUCAGCCUGGUAAUUGCAUUUGAUACUGGCGGACUAGAGUGCGGUAGAGGGGAGUGGAAUUCCCGGUGUAGCAGUGAAAUGCGUAGAGAUCGGGAGGAACAUCAGUUGCGAAGGCGGCUCUCUGGACCAGCACUGACACUGAGGCACGAAAGCGUGGGGAGCAAACAGGAUUAGAAACCCCUGUAGUCC
This 450-nucleotide ribosomal RNA is filed under the name uncultured bacterium. Its description in RNAcentral is "partial 16S ribosomal RNA". It matches the Rfam family "Bacterial small subunit ribosomal RNA", at positions 354 to 796 of the family's 1533-position model. The record is from RNAcentral.